RNAcentral lists this ribosomal RNA (253 nucleotides) under uncultured bacterium. RNAcentral describes it as "partial 16S ribosomal RNA". It matches the Rfam family "Bacterial small subunit ribosomal RNA", at positions 524 to 776 of the family's 1533-position model. The record is from RNAcentral.
UACGUAGGGUGCGAGCGUUAAUCGGAAUUACUGGGCGUAAAGGGCGCGUAGGCGGCCUUCUAAGUCGAACGUGAAAUCCCCGGGCUCAACCCGGGAACUGCGUCCGAUACUGGUGGGCUUGAAUCCGGGAGAGGGAUGCGGAAUUCCAGGUGUAGCGGUGAAAUGCGUAGAUAUCUGGAGGAACACCGGUGGCGAAGGCGGCAUCCUGGACCGGCAUUGACGCUGAGGCGCGAAAGCUAGGGGAGCAAACGGG